Molecule: non-coding RNA, 74 nt
Filed under: Cavia porcellus (domestic guinea pig)
Lineage: Eukaryota; Metazoa; Chordata; Mammalia; Rodentia; Caviidae
Source: RNAcentral
UGAGUUAUCUCAAUUGAUUGUUCACAGUCAGUACAGAUUGAACUCCUUGUUCUACUCUUUCCCCCCUUCUCACU